UCGCGCUCUCAAACAUGAUGCUAUUACUCGAUCCCUUACGUAAUGAAGGACGAUUUCUGUCACUAUGCAGCACAUGUCCUUUGUCUAAGACCAAUGGCAUCUAAAUUCGAUCUCAUGGCACACAGGCUUCGUCCUCAUGGUCUCUCCUUUCUCCCGAUCGUACGCAAGGGAUGGUAGCAAAUGAAGGGACCAAUUAAUUAGCUAGCGCUGCAUGAAAAUACACGUCAGGGCAAAGCAAGGGACCGAGUAAUCGCUCACCCGUAAAUCAUGUCAAGAAAUUUGUAUGUAUGUAUGUAAAUAAAAAUAAAAAUAAAAAUAAAAAUCAACGCGAAAAGCAAAAGGAAAUUAAAGAGUAGUGGUACCUUAUCAUCAGUAUCAGUAUAAGCUAUAAAGUGAAGGCAUACUUUCCCUCCUUGUAAUGUUCGAAACCAGCCUAGCUAGCUAGCAUCUCUCUCUCUCUCAAGGUUCGAGAAAGGAAGGGCAACAGAAUCGCUCAAACCUAUAAAGAACACCAAACCCACCCUAUUCAUCCUCGAAGUGAGUGAAAAAUAAUAAAAUACUAAAUAGAUAGAAGAAUUCCUGCCUUGCCCCACUCUCCUGCUUCUCACGCAGCUCCUCCUUCUCUUCCAGGCCUGGCCAUAUGAAUCAAAUUAGCAAUCAUGCA
Molecule: long non-coding RNA, 664 nt
Filed under: Populus trichocarpa (black cottonwood)
Lineage: Eukaryota; Viridiplantae; Streptophyta; Magnoliopsida; Malpighiales; Salicaceae
Description: long non-coding RNA (PTRI_LNC002198)
Source: RNAcentral